This 594-nucleotide long non-coding RNA is filed under the name Lathyrus oleraceus (garden pea). RNAcentral describes it as "Pisum sativum (pea) long non-coding RNA (PSAT_LNC040861)". The record is from RNAcentral. Lineage: Eukaryota; Viridiplantae; Streptophyta; Magnoliopsida; Fabales; Fabaceae.
AACCCAAUGAUUGGCAAUGAUUGCCGCUUAUAUAGCACGAUCCAAGAGCAAAUUGGAGAAUUGGAUUUGGGUGGCUCAAUCUCAUUCGUCCAGCUGGCACUUAAGUGAAUGAGAAGGUGAGUUUUGAAUUAAGUCACGUGGGAUUUAGAAAAAUGAAUAGCACGCUUCACUCUUUGAUUUUUUCACUGAAGUCUGGAUAUUUUCAUUGAACCAAAUUGGUUUGGAUCCCUUAACUUCCUGAACUGCUUAUUGUUUUGAAACUCAUUGCUUUGAACUGAACUGCUUUUUUUUGGAUUAUAUGUCUGUGUUGGUACGCUUAGACAACUUGCUCUGUUUCUGCAGGUUUUCAUGGUUUUUGAUUCUGCAACAGGGUAAUGGUUACGACUCAAAUUCCAUUUCUUGCCUUGCAUUGCCAACUGUUAUGGAUUUUGCUGGUGUAGCCAUUAGAAUCACCUUGAUCCUCUUUUGCAGGUAGCUCUGAAGUUGCAGUGGGAUGCUUGGUUGAUAUGACUUAGCUCAAGUCAAAUGUUCCAACUCUAGUCAUUAUGUAUUGAUCUGGUAUGUAUGGUUAUGUAUGCGUUGGACAUGUUACCG